This 1380-nucleotide ribosomal RNA is filed under the name Ancylomarina subtilis. Its description in RNAcentral is "bacterial SSU rRNA". It matches the Rfam family "Bacterial small subunit ribosomal RNA". The record is from RNAcentral. Lineage: Bacteria; Pseudomonadati; Bacteroidota; Bacteroidia; Marinilabiliales; Marinifilaceae.
UGCAGUCGAGGGGUAGAGAGAGCUUGCUUUCUUGAGACCGGCGCACGGGUGAGUAACGCGUAUGCAACCUACCUUAUACUGGGGGAUAGCCCAAAGAAAUUUGGAUUAAUACCGCAUAAUAUAUUUGAAUCGCAUGGUUURAAUAUUAAAACUCCGGUGGUAUAAGAUGGGCAUGCGUAGCAUUAGUUUGUUGGUGAGGUAACGGCUCACCAAGACUAUGAUGCUUAGGGGGUCUGAGAGGAUAGUCCCCCACACUGGUACUGAGACACGGACCAGACUCCUACGGGAGGCAGCAGUGAGGAAUAUUGGUCAAUGGACGCAAGUCUGAACCAGCCAUGUCGCGUGCAGGAUGACGGCCCUAUGGGUUGUAAACUGCUUUUUUACAGGAAUAAUUGCAGGUACGUGUACCUGUUUGAAUGUACUGUAUGAAUAAGGAUCGGCUAACUCCGUGCCAGCAGCCGCGGUAAUACGGAGGAUUCGAGCGUUAUCCGGAUUUAUUGGGUUUAAAGGGUCCGUAGGCGGCUUUUUAAGUCAGUGGUGAAAUCCCAGAGCUCAACUCUGGAACUGCCAUUGAAACUGAAGAGCUUGAAUAUGGUUGAGGUAGGCGGAAUACGUUAUGUAGCGGUGAAAUGCAUAGAUAUAACGUAGAACACCAAUUGCGAAGGCAGCUUACUAAACCAUUAUUGACGCUGAUGGACGAAAGCGUGGGGAGCGAACAGGAUUAGAUACCCUGGUAGUCCACGCCGUAAACGAUGAUUACUCGUUGUGCACAAUACACCGUGCGUGACUGAGCGAAAGCAUUAAGUAAUCCACCUGGGGAGUACGUUCGCAAGAAUGAAACUCAAAGGAAUUGACGGGGGCCCGCACAAGCGGAGGAACAUGUGGUUUAAUUCGAUGAUACGCGAGGAACCUUACCUGGACUUAAAUGUAGAUUGACCGGUUUAGAAAUAGAUCUUCCCUUCGGGGCAAUUUACAAGGUGCUGCAUGGUUGUCGUCAGCUCGUGCCGUGAGGUGUCGGGUUAAGUCCCAUAACGAGCGCAACCCCUAUCGUUAGUUGCUAGCAGGUAAUGCUGAGGACUCUAGCGAGACUGCCACCGUAAGGUGAGAGGAAGGUGGGGAUGACGUCAAAUCAGCACGGCCCUUACGUCCAGGGCUACACACGUGUUACAAUGGCCAGUACAAAGGGCAGCUACCUGGUGACAGGAUGCUAAUCUCAAAAGCUGGUCUCAGUUCGGAUCGGAGUCUGCAACUCGACUCCGUGAAGUUGGAUUCGCUAGUAAUCGUAUAUCAGCAAUGAUACGGUGAAUACGUUCCCGGGCCUUGUACACACCGCCCGUCAAGCCAUGGAAGCCGAGGGUGCCUGAAGUACGUACCGCAAGG